RNAcentral lists this long non-coding RNA (19133 nucleotides) under Eucalyptus grandis. Its description in RNAcentral is "long non-coding RNA (EGRA_LNC001130)". The record is from RNAcentral. Lineage: Eukaryota; Viridiplantae; Streptophyta; Magnoliopsida; Myrtales; Myrtaceae.
GAGAGAGUGGUGAAAGUAAUGCGUCAACAGUUGAUGAGGGAAAAAGAAAAGUUAUGGAGAUACGGGAGAGUGGAGAAAUGAGAAACAAUAAAAACUACCGUACCAUGUUGUCCAAUUGGCUAUGUUCAAUCAGAAAAAUUUGAUAAAUAGUGCGGUUUUUUUUUCGCAAGUUGCUAAGUUCUCUUAAUCUAUCGUUAUCUAUCUAUAUUUAUCUCUACUAUAUAUAACAAAUUUCUAGAUGACCAAAAUAUCUUUCUCUCAUCUCCCCGAUAAAAAAAAUAAAAAAGAGUAAAGAGGGCAUCCGACAUUAUUUACAAUUCAAAUUUGAUUUUCAUAGGCAAUUACUUUACAAAUUUCCUUUUUAAAUUUUGAUGAACACAUAUCCUUAAUAUUUAAAUUCAUGUUCAUUUCCCCUACUUAAAUUUUCAAAAAUUGAAAUCUAGAUAGGUGGUUACUAAGGGCGUGCAUGGUUGUGUUUUUAUUUUUUGUUCAUGAACAGAUUUUAUGUUUUUUUGUUCUUGGGAACAAAAAAAGAAUAGAAAUGCGUUUGUUUGCGUUUUUGUUCCAAAUCUGUUUUUUUGUUCCCAGGAACAAAUGUGGAACAGAAACAAGAAACAAAAAAAACUUGUUUCUUGUUUCUAGAACAAUUUGGAGAAGCACUUCUUUCUUUUCUUUUUCUUUUCUUCUUCUUUUUUCUUUGGCCAGUCGCCAGCCUCGGGUAUGACCGGCGACUGGCCGUCGAGGGUCGGCAAUCUCGCCGGAGCGUUGCCGGCGCAGGGCAAGGCUCGGCAAGCUCGGGCUCGCCAAGAUCCGGCGAGGCCAAGCUCGUCCAGCCAAGGCAAGGCCGCCGGCCCUCGUCGGCCAAUCACCGGCCAUGGCUGAAGCCGGCGACCGGCCAAAAGAAGAAAAAAAAAUUAAAAAUAAAAUAAAAAUAAAAUAAAAAUAUUAAAAAAUUAAAAGAAACAAAAAAAGAACACAAAUUUACCAAACGUAUUUCUGUUCUUUUUUUAUUCCUGGAACAAGUUUACCAAACACGUUUUUCUAAUAAAAAAUUGUUCCCUAGAACAGACCCGGAACAAUUUUUGAACAAAAAUACAAACAAAUGCACCCUAAGCCAAUUAUGCACAUCUUUUCGCACGAAUUGUAGUAGAUUCUUCUUUUAAUCCACAGUAGCUAAAAAUGCGAUGUGAGGCUUAGUAAAUUGUUUAUAAAUUCUAAUACUAUGGGCCUAUUUGUUUAUUUUUGUUUUUGUUCCCCAAAACAAAAAUUUCUAUUCCCCGGAACAAAAAAAGAAUAGAAACGCGUUUAUUUAUACUUUUGUUCCCGAUAACAAAUUUGGAAUAAAAACAAGCAGGAACACUCUUUGGAGAAAUAAAAGAACAAAAACACAAACUUGUUUGUUUUUUUCCUCCUUUUUCUUCUUCUUUUUUCUAUGGCUGGUCGCCAACCUCGACCAUGGCCGGCGACCGGCCGUUGAGGGCAGAGCAUCGUUGGCCAACACGAGGCCGAGCUCAUCGGAGGCUCGCCUGGCCAACAGCGAUCUCGCCAGGCCACCGGUGAGGCUUGGCCUCGAUAGAUCUAGGCGAAGUCGAGCCUCAUUGGUGGCCUGGCGAGGCUCACCGGGGCUCACCUUGGCCUCCCAGCCGGUCGCCGGCCAAAGAGAAAAAGAAAAAAGGAAAAAUAUAAUAAAAAUAUUUAAAAAUUAAAAGAAACAAAAAAAUUAUACAAGUUUACCAAACAUGUUUUUGUUCUUUUUCUAUAUCAGGAACAUAAAUUUUAUACGAUUAUCAAACAUGUUCUUCUGUUCAAAAAUUGUUCCCCACAAUAGAAAUAGUUUUUUCUAUUUUUGUUCUCAUAAAUAAUUUUUGAACAGAAACAUUACUAAACGCACCUUAUGUGAGAUUUUGUGAGACCAUUAUUAAUUUCUAAAAGCUUAAGCUAUUGAAAGAAGAUAUGGUUUAAUAUUUAAGUAUUUCAACACUCCCCCUCACGCUUAAUAUGGUCUUUUUGCCUAGUACUAAGCAUGAACAUAUUUAAUUGAGGAAACAAAUGGGACCUGGAAAAAUUUGAAUUCGGGACAUCUAGCUCUAGUACCAUGAAAUAAAUUGUAAUUCACUUGUAUUGCAUACAUAUAUUUGUGCAACAUAUUGCUUAACAGAAAAGAGAGGAAAAGAUCUACGCAAUACCCCAAGCUAAUUCUAUGAGAUACACCAUAUAUUAUGCUAACUAAAAGUGAAAACUAAAUCCUAAUCGAUAAUAAGAGAUACGCAAAAAAUUAGAAAAGAAAAACAGAAUGUUCCGUAAUAUAAUCCAAUGACAUGGUACCUGAAGCUUAUAAUCUUGAAGAGGGAAAAAAUUCAGAAAUCAGGUUGGAACCAUUGGCGUUCAUGACGGCACCAUUGGCCUACACGACCGUGAUCAGUUGCAUCGGAGAAUGUCUCGACGCUUCCGUAAUCCAUGCUGUAAAUCUUCUCCUUCUUCUCUUCUACGUAAUAGACGUGGUUUGGCUUGAUUCCGGGAAGGCAAGACCCAGCGUUAAACUCCAUGGAGAAGGAAGAGUUGUCAUUCAAGAAGAGAGACGCGUUCCCCAAGCUCUUGACCUCUUCCUGAGUUCCCUUCUCCAAAUCCACUUCGAAAACUCGGAAUCUAUUCCCCUUGCCACCCCUUGUCUUCCAAGCCACCAGCAAUGAACCCGAACAUUCGACGAGAUACGGCGCCCAACCUUUGAAAUUCUGCCCUAGGACUAGUCGCGAUUCCAUGCGCCUCUCUCUCUCGUUGAGAGUCGUUAUGUGAUUUUCCGCAUCCAAGGCCACGAAUAGCCCAUCGUAAUAAAUCAGUUGGAGGACUUUAGGCCAAGGAGGACCCGUCUCCGCCGGGCGACUCACUACCGUCCACUCAUCUUCUCCUGAUCUGUGGAAGGCAAGGCGUCCUCGUCCAAGAUCCCAAUUCACAGCGAUCAUGACAGCGUAGCUCCUGGACAAAGAAGGGCUCGAGGACAACGCGAUCCUGUCGAUUCUCAGGCAGACGCAAAUGCGCUGCAUCAGCCUGUCGAAUUCCACGUGGAGACGUGACGUGCGGAGAAGCUUCUCCAAGGCAGGGAGUUCGAUGCUGACGCUCGAAACCGGAUUGAAGAUACGGUAUUUAUGGUCCCAGUUUGACAGGAGCAUCCAUCCCCGUGGAGACAAGGUCUGGGCUCGAGUUCCCGGCGACUUCACUGGGUAAAUUCUCCCUCUAGAGGGGCUGCAUAAUUCAGGCAUUUGUUUGUACGUACUAGUCACGAGCCACGGGGCUUUCGACUUCGCGUCGUACAUCUCCUUGGUGGCGACGGACCUCCAUGAGGUGCACACCGCUCCAAAGGCUAGAAAGUCUUCUAUGGCUAGCCGUUGAGCGAUGAGUUCUAGGAGCUCUCGUGAGAGUUUUUCCCAAUCCGCCAUUACUGCAACUUCUUUGAUGAACUUAAUCCUCAAAUAAGGUCCUUUCUUAUGCGAGGAAAGACAAAUUUUUAGAAUUCGGUUUACCUUUUUGGCUUAGGAUUACCCCAAUCUAGAUUACUUUUUUCAACAGGUCCUUUCGCAAAAAUCUUAAAAGUUAGUUUCCUUUUCGAGCUUUCCUGGAUAAAAUCUGUAAAAGGAUCCAUACAUAUCAUUUAAUCAAGUGAUAGCCACGCCAUGGUGACUGAUGCGUGAAAUUGUAAUUUAAAGGUAAAUUGACCUUUAACACUUAAAUAAUAAUUUUUUAGGUAUUUUACACUUUUUAAUUUAAAUUUAGAUUUUGUCAUGUGUUUUGAUGAGUUGAAUCCUACAAUUUGUUAGUGAGAGUAUGGGUUUAUUUUCCUAAAUAUACAACACUUCAUAUUUAUAUUUCUUAUUUUUCUUUCGACAUGCAAAAUGUAUCCUCUUUUCCUAGGCAAUGUUUCAAUAAACAAAAGCAACACUUCAAAUUACGUAAUUCUUUAUCAAAACAAGAUGAAGAUAGCAAGAAAAAGAAGUAGCGGGGGACGAUGUUUAUACACCAAUAACAUUGUCUUUUUCAGGGAAUAAUGAUAGUAAUAAUCUUCAAAUUCUAUUCUUGUGUACAAUAUCAUCAUUUAAUAAUGUGUUUAACGUUAUCUAUAACAAAUAAUCAAUUAAUAACUUCAAAUCAAUAACACAUCUUUUCACUAUACAUACUUACGUCCCAAAAAAAAAAAAACAAUCGGUGGCUCAGAUAGAGAGGGCGGUGAAAGUAAUCCAUGAAAGUUGACACGGGAAAAAGUGAAGUUCUGGGGAUGCGGGAGAGUGGAGAAACCGAGAAAAAAAUAAAAUCUACAACAAUGACCUUCAAUUAAUUAUAUUUAUCUUUUUUUUCUACAAAGAGCCUAACACGGAAUGUUAUUUUCUUUUUUUAAGAGAACUUGCCACCUAUUGUUUAAAAUAAAAAUAGAGGAAAAAUAUAACGAUUUCAUUAAUAAAUAAAUUGAAUAGUCAUGUCUCAUUUUAAAUGCGCUUUGUAUUUAUGUCAUCUUACAACCUUUUUUUUACUUGAUUACCACAGGUACCCAUAAUAUUGAUACGUGAAUUAUAAUCAAUUCAAUAAAUAUGUCACCAUUAUAGAUUUAGCGUUAUGUACCUCAAAGCCACGUUUAUUCCAAUGUAGCUCAUUUUUAGUUAGGUUAGUUAUUAUCUUAAUAUGCUUGAUGUAAAUAUUGAAAGAAAUUGUUGACAUUGAUUUAAUUUUAAAUCUUUUAAAUUAGAAAUUAUUAUAUAUCUUGAAGAUGACAAGUUUUUGGUAUUAACAAGCAAUGUUUAGUUUUGCAAAAUUUAUUCAAAGUUAAUCUAUCACUUUUCAAUCUACCUAAUAAAAGUUAGCACUGGAUCUGCCUAAUGUGCCUGUCAGAAAUACUCCUACGAUCAUUAUAUUAAAGUUUAAAGGGAACAAAUUAUUUACUUUUGUUAAAAAAAUAAUGUUUAAUAUAACUGCCUAAAUAGAAAAAGAUCAUUGCCAAAACAGUGGUUACUUCUGCACAAUCUCGAGUUUAGGAGGUAGUAAUUGUUAAUAUAGACCGAUGCGUAUUGUAAAGAUAAUUAGGCUUUCAAGGCAAAUCUUGGUUGGAUUUCCAUUUAUCAAGAUCAGUGUUCUCUUACUUAAUUCAAAUUGACGGUGAGAAGUGGUCUUAAAAUACAAAAGUUGCUGAUUUUCUUUUCUCUCUUGGGCACAGAGGAUUUGUUUUUUCUGUUGGAGAUGAUAAACAUCCACGUUUUGACUAACGCUUGAGCGUGUGUGCGAUUUCAUAAACCCAUAGAAAAAUUGAAUGCAAAUGAUUGAGAUAUUGAGUUAUCCAAACCAAACAUAAUCUUUAUAUUUUUGUUUUAAACCCAGGCACAUGCAAAAGUUGGUUUGUCAGUCAUCUUUAUUGUAGCAUUCUAGGUCAUCGCUUGAGGUAUUACUAUAAUGGAGACAGAGGUCGUUGCUACAUUAAGUACUCGCAAUAUUGAUGAGACUUUCAUUUCUGUUUAUAUGCUUGAGUCGUCUUUCACUCUUUCUUGUAACAUGAUAAAUUAUAACAUGUUUGAUAUGACAUCUUGAAAUUUAUUAAUAAAAGUGGCAUGAUAUCUUGUGAUAAUCUUGACAAAAAAUGAUGAUGGAUAUGAGUUACUCAGAAAGAAUUCUUAAUGCUUAGAUCAUUUAUAUGAAAUUUUUCAAUCUUACAACUCUCCUGGAAGUAUUUGGAAUGCCUUGAAGAUCAAAUACAACACUAACAAACAAGGUGCCGAUAGAUUUACUGUUUUGAAAUAUUUUGAAUUUACCAUGAUUAAUGGAAAAUCUGUUUCUAAAUUAAUGACUAUGUAGAAAGAACCACUCAUUUUAAUAAUUAUCUGUUUCUUAUAUAGUUACAAGCUUUGCUCACGCUAAGAGAUCUAACAGUCAAGAUUGAAUAUCGGUGAUCUAAUGAUUUUUAAAAUUUAAAGGGUUUAACGCCUCAGCCACUUAGCAUGCGUUUGGGAGAAUUUUGGCAUAAUUAAUUUGUAUCUAGAUAAAGUACUUUGCCUCUAAAGAUUUCCCUUUAAUGCAAAUAUUAUUUGGUAAUCAAUGUGAAACACACUUCAGAAAGCAACUGGUAAAAUUGAAAUACACUUUAGCCGAACUUCUUUCUAUGAAGUAGCAGCUCAGAGCGUACUACUGUCGGGACCUUCUUAUAGGAGUUUCGUCAAAGAGAACUUCUUAUAAGAGUAACGUCAAAAGAGAAUUUUAUGAUAGACCAAGAGCACCAUUACAAGGUCGUGAAAUCUAGGCGGAUGGACACAAACAAAUCCGGCGCAAGGCAAAGUGUCAAAGAGAAUGUUAUGAUAGAUCGAGAGCACCAUUUCUUAUCAUGCUUGGAUCACCGUGUCUCGGGCAUUUGUAGCUCGUACCACGUUCAUCGAUAUGAGCGUUCAAGUUCACGCGGGACUUCAGCUGACAGAUCAAGAAAUAUCGAGUUAGCCAAUAGUCUAAACGAUUUCUUAAGCUCUGUGAGGUAUCUCAUGGUCCUGGAUGAUGUGUGGAUGACUGAAGAUUGGGACAUUUUACGAAGGCUUUGCCAAAGACCGGUAUCGGAAGGCAGGACAUCAAGGACAAACCAAAUCAUAGAGACCCUCCACGUCUGCAAGUUGGUGAUCUGCGUAUGCACAGACCAAACGAUAUGCUGAGAAGAUUACCUAUGAGCACCGAGACGAAUCAUCUUUAAAGAAACUACUUGAUGUUGUUUUAAGGACAUCAAGAAUGAGUGACACUUGCUACCAGGUUGAGUUGGCUUGACGAUUCUAUAUUUCAUAGUUUUCAGUGGCCAAAAAUUGAAUGCUGCAUACCUGUGGAGAAAAAAAGAACAAGGGAAAAACAAUUGAUCUUAGGCUAGGGAGUGUGACCGAUGCAUAACGAGAGCAAGGGAAAUGGAGGCCCGUCCCAAAAGAACUAAACCAUAAGAGAAUCAAUUAAAACUGAUCAUAUUCGACCAUCGAAACCCAUGAAAUGGAGGACUGUGCCACCAUGCCGACUCCCCUUCGUUCGCAAGGUGUGAGAUUGAUCGCCUGGAUAGACAACAACACAGAGAGUCUAUAUUCUUUGAUUUCGUUUCCCAUAAGAUCAAUAUCACAACCAAUCCAAUGAGGUCUACAAGUUUAAGUAAUAUCCAAUCUGAUAAUUUACUAAAUAGUUAGAUAAUUAUCUAACAACAACAUUUUGAGGAAAGAUAUUAAUAGAUAUGUGUAGUUGCCAUGUAUUGCGCAAACAAUAAAAUGUGAUCGGGAAAUGCACCUAAGAUCAAAUAUUACGAAUGAGAAAUACAGACUUUCCUUUUGAUGCAGCGAUCACAUAAAAACAUAAGCUUUGAGAUUCAAUAGCUAAAUACAUGGCAAUUAGAUCAUGAGCCACGAUCAUAAAGAGCAUACCGCUAGAGUAGAAAGUCAAAUUAAUAUAAUGAAUUCAGAAGCUUCAAAACUCUUUUGUGCGGAAGAAUCAAAACACAUCAGAAUGAUAUCAGCCAUACUUAACAAUAGAAGUAUUACGCAAAAAUAUGUGAAAUUGUUCCUCCUAAAAAGAUUAUUCCAAAAUAAAUGGCAACAGUUAGGAGAGCUCGACCAACAGAAGCAAGUUAUCAGAUAUCUGAGGAGAGUCCGGCCAAAACCACACAUGCAAGUUUCCCUGUGGAUGGCUCAUAUGUGAUAACUUCUUUGAAUUUGCAUGAUCUAGCAGACCGAACUUUAAGUGGGGAUGCUCCCUCUAGCGUGAGCAGAUUUUUCUUUGGAACUAGCUAGGGAUGGGCGCCACUAUUCCAGCCCAAAUCUAGUUGUCUUAAAUCUUAAAUAAGACUCGGGGAUCUUCCUCAGCCCAUGUCACCCUUCGCUCAUUCAUUCGGUGCCCUUCCUGUUGGGGCAUCCCCUUACAUUAUCACUCUGGCUAUUCUCAUGAAUAUCCUCAACUUCGGUUGCCACUUGCUAGUGCUAUAGAGCAAAGAAAAAGCCCAUCUAAACUUUUGCUUAUUGGCGAUCACAAUGCACAAAGUCACAUCACAUGUAUUUGGACUUGUGAGACGGGUGGAUAGGGUCAAAAAUGGUUCAACCCAAAUUCACUCAUUAAACUCGCUAUAACCCAUUAAAAACCCAUUUAAGAGCCAAUAAGCUCUUAAAUAAACUCAUUUAAACUUGUCUUUAAAAUCUAAGGCGACUCAUUUAUGACCCACACCAUUAAACAGGACUUAAAUCACAUGUACAUGUAUAUAAAAAGCAUAUAAACUCCACUAUGGAAUAUUUAAAAGUGAGACGAAAUCUAAUUCCAAUAUUACGUGAGACUUCAUAGAAUCAAGCUAUCUUCAGAGAUAGAUCUUUUGUAACUCACGAAAUUGAUAUCAUUUUUUUUUCUGCGACAAUUCCUCCUUCUUUUCUCACGUGCCAAUUUGGUCAGUUUUUACUGAGAACUGAGAACUGAGAACUGGGCCUUUUUUUUUUCCUGUUUUUUUACCAAAAUAGAACCCGGGGUAAACGGGAGGCGCGCAUCUUCUUUUACCGAGCCGGCACUCUCGCGCAAGGACUCGCUCUCUCGCAGAUUCGCGCCCGCAAUGAAAGAAAAGGUAGGGCGGUGACAAGGACAAAACAUGGGGGACGUUUGAUUAAAGCAAAGACCCGAAGAUUUGAUUAAAGCAAAAGACCAGAGAAGAGACGACGCAAUGAGAAAGGAGAACCUUCUUCGCUGCCACUUGUACCGUUCCACCCUUUGCCCCCUCCCCCGUCUUCCUCCUCCGGGCCGGCACCACAUCGCCGCGAGCUCAUGGCGGCCGGCUCCGGCGCCGAUCGCCUGAUCCGUAAGAUCCACGGCUGCUUCCGCCCCCCUCCUCCUCCGCCAGGUCGGUGCUCCCUCUUCUGUCUCUCUCUCUCUCUCUCUCUGAGUGGUGUGUUCCGCGAUCCGGAACUGAAGAGCUCGCCGCGCUUGAUUCUGUCGCGUGACGUUUUCUGAUUCGGGAGCAGUCCGUCGUGGUUCUCGCGUUGGAGAGUUGUUCAAGUGACGAGCAAUUCGAGCGGAGGUGAGACUGCUCGUGGCCUCUGCUUUCCGGAAUUUGUGCGUUCGGAGCGUGUCGCGUGCCUGAUCCUCUUGGAUAAUUCGCGUGAUUAGUUAGUACCGAGCGUCAAAUCGCCAAUCUCUGAUGGGAGAUGAAAACUAUUAGUGCGGGAAUUCGUGAGAGUUCGAAGAGCAGUGAAGGUUUGUGAUGUGGAGUUCGAUGUGGAUCUGGAUGUCCGGACGUCGUGACGAUACGAGCUGUUUGUUAGUUCUCUUCGUGUUAAUUACGAUGGUUGUCCUUCGUGUCGCUUUCGAGUACUUGAAUUUGAUCGCUUCCAUAAAGGUCGAAUUAUGUGCCAGUUCUUUUCCUUGUGACUAUGUUCGAGUGAAAAUAGGAAACGCUUUACCUACGAAACUUUUUCGACCUGUGUUGUGUGGCGAUGGUUUCAUUGAAAUGAUCACUGGUUCAGGCUUCUUCACCUGCAGUUUGCCUGAAGAAGUCCUUCUUACUAUCUCCGUGCACGCUGCCGUUGCCAUCUUGUACUUACAGGUCCAGUUUCUUUUGUGAGGCACUACUCAUACAAGGACAUAAAGAAGGCAACGGGCAGUUUUUGCAGGAUCAUCUAUAGCGAUGCUCAUGGGGCGGCUUACAGAGCCAACUUCGAUGAUGCUGGGCUUGCUUUGGUUAAGGAGGUUAAGGAAUUUGAUCAGAGUAAUGAGGUCUUCUACAGAGAAGUGCAGCUCUUAGGCCGUUUGCAUCACCGCCACCUCCUUGCACUUAGAGGGUUCUGUAUGGGGCAAAAGAGGUAUGACCCUCAUCAUUCAGGCGAAUUUUGAAAACCUUUGCAAUGUAUUUCAUUACAAGAUUUUGUCUUUGAAUGUGGGCAACUGCUUUUUUUAAAUUUCUCUCCUGUUGGUCAUCUUGCUUGUUCAUCCAAUGUACCUUAAUUGAGCAAGUAUCCCUUCUCCUGUGAUUUGGAGGAAAACAAUAACUAUUCUACAUAGUGGUUUAUCUUCUACUUAAUGAGAAAUUGAACCCUCUCUGUUUAGCUGGAAUUCUCACGAUUGGAUGACAAAUGGUUCUACACCUUGCAGUUUGUUAGUGUUUGACAAUGUCGAGAAUGGAAGCUUGAAGGAUCAUCUCAAUGGUAAUUGUCAGUUAAAACAUUUUCUAUGUAUUGGCUUGAUAAAAUUUGGUCUAAAGAGGGGUGCUCUUAGCAGAUCCUCUUAGGACUCCUUUGAAUUGGAGAACGAGAUUACAGAUAGCCAAUGGUGUAGCUGCUGCAUUGGUAAGUCAAGGAACUAUUGUAACUUUUAACUUUAAUUUUCAUUUCUUAUGUGGGAACAGAGACAAAUCAAAUUGGGAGGCUUUCCUAAAAUAUGAAACUGCUCAAUUAGUGUACCCUGCAAUCUGGAACGGUCUAUGGUAGACAUGAUCAAAAACCUUACAUGAAUCUCGCUGGAGAGCUAGUUACUAGAUGACCCGAGACAUCGACCAUAUGUUUAGAACUUGUCCUUGGUAAAAGUAUCGUAAUCCUGGAUGAUCGCGAAAACAUGAAUGGACAUAUUGACAUUAUCAAGCUUUUGGUCUGCAUGUUUUUAUCUGUUGAAUCAAAUGACUUACAAGUCUUAGCACUACAAGAUGUAUUAGGCCAAUCCCUGUCAUGCUGAAUUUGCUGGGAGGAAACUAGCUCCAUCUUAUGCGUACACAAGAUAGUAGUUUGUUUUUUCACGGAAAGUCUGAUUUCAAGUUGACAGAGGCUCAAUCUGUCUGCAGGAAUAUUUGCUCCUAUUUAAUGAUCCCCCAGUAUAUCAUGUAUCUGUCAACUCAAGCAAUGUCAUGUUGGAUGAGAACUUCAUUGCCAAGGUAGGGAAUUUGUUUCAUUUCUUUCAUAUCCAGCAUCUUCUUUGCCUUUUCUGAAUCAGACUAGAGUUAAUCUCAAUUCACAAGUUUUUGGAAUUCAAUCAAAUUGAUACACUGUUGCCAUGUAGUCAAAAGCAAAAAUGACAUUUUCCUUGAUUAUCUCAGCUAUCAGACGUUGGUUUUCUUGGUUAUUCUGGGAAUCACACAGGAACUACUCAUCCAAAAGGUGAUCUGUCGUCACCACACAUGUUGUCUUUGCAAUGAUAUGAAUGUGCAUCCUAUUCCCUUCGAUUAAUAUUUUUCAAAAAUCCCUCAUUCUCGUUGCAGAUUGUAUUGAGGCAGAAUCCAGAAACAUCAUUUUCCAGCUUGGCAUGCUGAUGCUGGAGCUCAUCACUGGGCAAUCAUCAGAAGGGGGAGGCGCCAAUCUGAUCCAGUGGGUUCAAGAAUAUCAUUUGGGUAGCUCCAUUUAUAAGCUGAUAGACCCAGAUCUUGGAAAUGACUAUGAUUCGAGGGAGCUAAGAAAUCUCCUGGAGGUAGCGAGACUAUGUAUCAAAUCGAGGGACAAACCGGUGCUGUCGGCUGCUAGACUGUUUCGGUAUCUCCAGAAGAAGAUAGAUAAUCCAGUCAGUUAGUCCUUGAAGCCAUUCGUUUAUACUAUUUUAUUGGCUGUGUAAAUUCAUGCCUAUAAUCUCUAUAGCUGUAUCUUCCCUUCUUUCGUUUUUCCCCUUUAAUUUCUUUUCAUUUGAGAAUCAGAUGAUGAUAAAACACAUGCGAGGGCAUAGUGCUGGGUAUCUUAUGUCACGCAGGUUAUAGCAGAUAAUGAAAUGCUCUAGCACUUGAAUAAGUGCCUUUGAAACGCCAAAACCCAAGGUGUCCCUCUGAAGCAUCUACCCUGCUCUUCACUAUCAAAUGCGACUUGCAAUUCACCGGUUCUAUAAUGUGAAAACACAAUGGAAUCGUUCACUUUUACGGCACCGAAAGAAGGAUUUUUUAUGACUAUUUCUUUUUGUAGCUCAAUCGAUUCUGUAGAUCCUAUACCCAGUUAAAUUUAUCCAUUAAGAAACGUACGUUUUUUUUAUAUAUUUUAUUAUCUUUUUGGGGAUGACGGAUGAAAUUGCUUAUUUAGACAAAGGAGAGCAUCCGAUGCUUAGGAAGGAAUCUUAAUCAUACAACAUGCAAUUGACUAGUUUUGUUGUUUUGUUGCAUGUCCACCCGACAGCAAGUCGACGUCGCCGACGCUACUUACCCAUUUCUCAUCAGCGGUUUCUUUUGUCCUUUGUCCUCGCUCGUUCUUUAAUUCCAUCACCUCCACCUUCUCACAUAAUCCCCAGAGAGAGACACGCACACCGAUAUCGCCUUGAAAAUUGAAUUUUACUUUUCCUUGGUUCGAUAAACCUUUCCCCAGAGAGUGAGAGAAAGAGAGAGAGAGAUUCCUUCGCCUCGUAAUCGAUUGGGCAGAUGGAGGACGAAGAAGGGUAUCGGCGAUGCGCUCUUGUGCUCGUUGCUGGCAAUCGUCGGCUUUGAUUCUGGAGAAUUGAGCUCUGUGAGCUCUCUGUGCUUGAUGAUGUCUUUAUUUUCUUUCAGCACUCGUUCUCCGUGUGGCAUUUGUGUUGAGUUGUUAGGAUUCAGCUUGCUUCAUUUACAUUCUUUCCUUUUGUGGGAUAUAUAAACCUAGCAGGGAGAGCGAGCGGGAGUAUGUUGUUUCGGUUGCGGCUGAUGAAUGCUGGCUUUUUUUUUAUUUUUUUUGGGUCUACUUGCAUGUGGUGGGCUAGCUGCUUCUUGAUGGCUUUGUAUUAACCUCGUUUUGAUCAUGGAGUGGAAAUUUCUCCUCGUGCCGAUCCAGUCCUUGUGGUCUUAUGUAUAUGUGUGAGGACUGUGAGGACGGUGGUUGUGCAGCAGCCUGUGCAGCAUUGCAUUUGCUGCAUUGCAGUUCAUGAUCGAUUUGUCGAUCCCUAUUGUUUGUGCAUUGUAAUUGAUUGUUUUGAUGGCUCUGACAGUUCUGCGGUGAGUGUUGAUAUCAUAGCGCAUGCUGUUCGUGUCCUCCUCUGCAGCUAUUUUCUUAGCAUUACUUGGAUCGAGCAAUUGGACGUGUGCUCUGUAGUUUAUGCAGAUGCAGCCUAUCGGCUAUUUUCAUUGGAUGAGGACCAGUUUAUUUUUUUGCUUGUGGUAGAGCUAGAUGAGAUUGGACACUGUUGAGAUGACAUUCGAUCUGCAAAGCCAUCCUGAUUUUUCUAUGCUUCUGCUUCAGGUCAGGAGUAGAUGUUCCGACAAUGAGAGGCUGUUGAUUGCAAUACUGAAGUUGCUGUAAUUUAACUUCCAGGAAAGGACGGUUGAUUUGCCUUAAGAGGUAAUGCCAGCUUGGACUUGUAAAACAAUUUACCAACUUGUAAAAGUCGGCUCAUGAUCGCUGUGAAAUGUUCAUGGCCUGAAAUUGGUAGCAAUUUGUGUGUAGUUCAAGAAAUAACAACUUUCUUUUGGAUUUUUUUUUUUUAAUUCCUUCCGCCCUUUCUUUCUACUAUGAGGUGCAAAAACGUGGUAGCAAUGGUCACAACCAUCUUUUACUGGCAGGUUCUAUUGAUUGACACGAUCCAACAGGCAGAAUGGGCGUCUCUGGGAAAUGGAUCAAAGCCUUAGUUGGUUUGAAAAAAUCACAAAAAUCACCUUCAAAUAAGGAUGAAGAGGUGGGUAUAAGGCUGGGUUCGUGCUACCCUACUGUUGAAGUUUGUAUGUGCAUCAUUGCGAGCAUGGUGGGCUAGGGGCUCCUGACUAAGCCAAUUUGAUGCGAAACAGUCUCAUUAUGGGGGAAUGAGCGAAGUAUGGGUAGUACCUUGUAACGCCCUUCAACAGAGCCACAAAAUGAAAUGUAGAGCUUUUCCUGGAGGGACUCCUCUUUCACUGAAUUUUAUGUAGGAUGAGUGGUGCCCUGCGAAGUCAAUAAGUUAUCCACCUUUGUCAAAGUGGAAAGGUCUGAAUACUGAGAAGAUACUGUUCAAGUUGGCAAAAUAUGAAGUAAACCUCUGGACGAGUAUUGCCUAAAGACAGACUAUGACUGCAUGAUAUUCACAUGCUAAACAAUAAUCUCUUCUUUUCUUUGAAGUCAUGUUGUCCUAGCUCAAAUAUCACUCCUUUUAUGAUCUUUGUAGGGUUUUUGAAAUUCAGCCUCUUAAUAACUACAGCAUGAUUUUGUACCCUUUACAGAAGGUGAAUGGUAGCCAAUCACAUUCCAAGUCUCUGUGCUCUGCUAACUGUUCAGUUGGUACGGAGACCGAAAACAUCCAUGACCAGCUUAAUUGCAAUUAUGCUUCUCAUGUUGGGGAUGCAAAUGAACAUUUCAUCCCUGAUCCUGCUUGUAGUCUUUCCACCUGCUUUGAUGUACAGAAAACUGAUCAUCACCAGCAAAUUUUAAGAGAAGAGUUGGCUGCAACGCGCAUCCAAACAGCUUUCCGGGGUUUCCUGGUAUUGAUUUUUGCAGCCAAUUCGAUCUACAUAUGAUCUUCAGUCUUUAUUGACCUGAUGAGAGUCUCUUGAAUAGAAGAUUUUAGUAAUUCCCAAGAUGUUUGACGGCAUGCUCGGUCAGGUCAAAAGAAGUCACUUUAGGAAGUUAGUGAAGCUCCUUUGUUCUGCUCACUUAUUUUAUCAAUUUCAUUUUCCCACUUGUCAUAUAUUUAAUUGACAGCCAAGGAAUAGUAUGGAAAUGUCAAGGCAUUUCAAGUGAAUGAAAGUUCAUGUGGAAUGAUCAUGGCAAACAGUGAAUUGUGCUGGAUAAGUAUUUCAUGGGUUCAACAUAUUAAUGAAAUGGUCAUCAUGACAUGACAAUUUCUUCACCAGUAACUGUAUUCAGUAUCUGAUUUAAAAUUCUUGAGGGCAUUUCUCUUACAAUCUUUUGAAACAGCAUAAAAUGGUAUCAUGAUAUCUGACAGAGCAUAUGAAGGUACCUCUACUUACAAAUAUCUCUUUUUCCAUAAGGUUUUUCUUUAUGAUCACCAGCUGCUACUGCAGAGUAUCCUAGUCAGUCACAUCAUUCUCUUUCCACGAAACUUAACGACAAGCCAAUUUAAUCGAUCAGGAUGUCAAUGGGAACUUGUAAAAAUGGCUGUCAAAUAGAUGUUUUACCAAGAGCUUUUAAUGAACUGAAAGUAUUGGCAGAGCUAUGGUUGUAUCUCACUCAACUUAGUCUCAUUGGUCAGUUUCAUGGCUUCUGCACCAGGCAAGAAGAGCUUUAAGUGCUUUGAAAGGGUUGGUGAGGCUUCAGGCCCUUAUCAGAGGUCAUUCUGUGAGAAAGCAAGCUGCAAUGACACUGCGUUGCAUGCAAGCUUUAGUAAGAGUUCAAGCCCAUGUACGGGCAAGGCGGGUGCGACUAGCAUUGGAAAGUCAAACAGCAGAACAGAAAUUUAAGCAACAAACUGCAAAGGAGGCUCAAGUUCGGCAGAUUGAAGUAUGCUGCUUUUAUUGCAAUUCUCAUAUUGAAGGGUCUGCAUUUUCUUCCACCUCAUUCAUCAUAGACGAGGAACUUUCGUUUUUUUUUUAUGUAUAUCAAUGAUACAAUAUAUUACCAGUUGAAUGUCAGCUGUACAAAGCUGCAUCUUCAAGGUCUAGUACUUGUGUUAAUCCAUUUAGAAAUUAUAAUGAUUACAGAACAUCAUGCUUAACCACAGAGGGACCACAUAUGCAGCAAAGGAAAUCAUUCAAGUAUCGUGAUUUCUUAAAUUAGUUUGAUGCACCUACCACAGUAACUGAUGGGAGAUAACAACUUAUCAGAUUUUCUUUAGAUGGUUCCGAUUAUUUCACUUUAUUUGCUGUCUUAAGGAGGCAGUCACACUCUCCACAUGUUGAAUGGAUGCCACUGGAUGUAGGUCCUGGACAGCAUCAAUAGUGGUUGAAACCGUUUGGGAGGGAUGAAAUUUUAGAACUUCUACUUAAUGACUUUCCCUCCUAGCAAUGAAAAUGAAAAACAUAAUAUAUAAAAAUCAUGAAAUGUUUAAGGCGCUUCGUGUUAAUUUUAUUUCCUCAUCUUCACUGGCGGUGCUAUCUUUUUUGAGAACACGGUGCCUCUAAUUAUGGUCUCAGUGUUAAAUUGUUAAAUGAUGAACAAAAUUCUGCCACAUGAUGGUCUCAGUGUUAAAUUGUUAAAUGAUGAACAAAAUCUGCCACAUGAACAUAGGAAUAACUAUUUACAUGGUCAUGUGCUAGUUUUAAUGAGUGUUUUCGUUUCUCACAUUUUAGCAGGAAGGUUGGUGUGACCACAUAGGAUCUGCAGAAGAAAUUCAAGCCAAGUUAGUGAAGAGGCAGGAAGCUGCAGCUAAGCGUGAAAGAGCCAUGGCUUAUUCCUUAGCUCAUCAGGUAAGCUAUAUUUGAUAUUACCAUGGAUAUGUCUGUGAACUAUGCUUUUCCUCCAUCUUCUAGGGUGAUGUCAGAUUUUAAACUCAGUUUGACUAGAGCAUAUCAGAUUUUAAACUCCGUCUUAGGCUUGCCAAUUUAAGUGUGUGGACUCAACAGAAAGGUAAAUUUGAGAUGGAAUAAUUAACCUAAGAGCCCAAUUAAAUUCAAUACCUUACAGUUCAGCCUUCAACUAAAAUGGAUGUGUUCUUCGUAGUUUAUAGUAGUUUCAACUUUCAAUGCAAAAAUUUGCAGUAUCGAUUAGUCUCCACAUGAAUGUGGUACAGGAUGCAUCUUCUCUGGUUAGCUUAAUAUUUGCAUCAUCAAACAAUGAAGUGCACCAGGAUUGUGUAUGCCUUAAAAUGUAUGCUCGCAUCACUAAGUUGCACACUAUAUGUGAAAUGAACAAAAUUAACUUUGUCUUACAAGGUGCAUGAAUACAUAAUUACCCAUUUUCUUACUGACAAUUUACUGUAAACUAAGCAGAUUCUAUAAUAUGUGCUUAGGGAAGUGGACUUUAUGCACGAUUGCCAUCUUUUCUCGACUAUGCCGUGUCAUUUUUUGCAUGGUUAGAGCCUGAGACCAUUACUGCAAUCAAAAUACAAUCACAAUCUAGCACUGAGUUUCAUGAGCCUAAAACUCUCUUAUAGUACUAUGCAGUGGCAAUUACAAUCUCCUUGAUUUUACUUCAUAGUGGCCUUUUUUUUUUCUUCAUGCAGUGGCAAGCAGGAUCAAAACAACUGGCAGCACCUACAGGGUUUGAACCUGACAAAAGCAGCUGGGGAUGGACCUGGUUGGAGAGAUGGAUGGCAGUUCGUCCAUGGGAGAACCGAUUUCUCGACAUUAAUAUCGGUGAUGGAAUGACAAUUCAAGAAAGUGGCUCGGCACAGAGUGCGGAUGACACUAGAGCCCAGUCGAAGUCUGCCAGCAAGAAACCGGGUUCAACAAAUCUUUGCAAUCAGAAAAGAGGGUCUUCUCAGACUAAUGUUGUUGGCUCUUCAUCUAGUAAAUCAUUGAAUAAGAUGCCCUCUGAUCAGGCAGUCCCUUCCAAGCCAGAGUCAAAGCUUGUCAAUGAUGGAAUUCAAUUGGCCCAAGCCAGGCUUGGUCGUAGUUCCAGAUCGCAAAGUAAUCCUAAAGAGAGAUCAGUGCCAUCUGAUAAACAGGCAAAGAAGCGAUUCUCUCUGCCUAAUUCUGGUAAACUCCCUUUCUCCCUCUGUCUCUAUCACAGAUCCGCACACAGACAUGUUCAUGCGAAUAGAGGGAUGUAUGAAUUGCACUGAACAACCGCCGCGGUUGUUAAAAAAAUUCCGCUUAUAAACGUCAGGCUUGCAGCGCACAUCCUCUACUUUUAACGCUGUGUUCGCAUGUCUAAUAUGCCCGGUAGCCGGUCUUGCUUAUAAACUCGUAUUCCUGUUAUCACAGAACAUCAUCGGGAAUUAAGCUCAUCUGAAGUUUAACUUGAUUUUAUCAGGAUCGACCGUCGGGGCACCAACUGCUAAAAACCCCAGCAGAACUGCUGCAUCGAGAAAAUUGGAUCCGCCGGCAAGACGUGUUUCCGAGGCGAACUGAUUAGUAACCCUCUCGAAUUAUGAAGAACAAAAGGUCCAACCUCAUUCCACUUUGAGGCUUUGCACGUAACGCCCGAAUUGCAACAGACGCAAGCAAUUGCUUUCAAGCACGCACACCUUCCUCUCCCGUGACUUGUCAAGGCUUUUUUUUUUCCCAAAAGUGGCAGAGCAGAAGAGAUUGCUUCGGCUCCUCGGCGUCCGCAGCUCUAGCUCUAGUACCGUCAUGAAUGCAUCUCGUCUUUUUCCUUUUCCAGUUUCGGUUUUUAGUCGCCCGUGUACUCGUUGAGAUGUGGUCGCUGUUUUCGGAUCUAUUUGGUUGCUGAAGGGAUCGAAAUUUCCUAGAGUCGUGACUUUUGGGUCCGUCCAAUUCCUAACGCUCCCCCUCCUCUCUAUCCUGGAAAAAAGAGAGAAAAAAACGACUCGAUGCGCGUUCCUCCGUCGCGGUCGAUGAUGGGGGUCGGGCUUCGAUCGUGCGCUCGUCCAUGAUCACGACGACCUUAUCUUCGGAUUCCUUUCGCGGGCUACGUGCUACCUAUCAAGAUCCCCCCCGCUCUGACGCAGCGGCCAAGCGGUGAGGGGCAGCGCAACAGGACAGCCACUUGACCCCCUUUUCACGCACGCGGGGUGUCCUCCCAGAUCUGUCCGAUCUGUCCGAUCUGUCAGUAAGCGGAGACAAUUUCUUCUCACCCCCUACCCCGACCAAAAUUAAUGCGGUCAAAUUUCACAGUUACGUAAUCACGAAUUUAUCCCGAAAAUCUAUCCUCGUGAUCAUGAGGAGAUUAGAAAAUCCAGCCUUUGCGAUUCCUUUUUUUAAGCAAAUUGCAUUACGAUCUUUUUUACAGAGAGAGUGGAGGAGGAGGAGGGGGAGAAUUCUGAGCAGUAUAAAGCAAAGAAAUUAGAAAGAAGAGUCCAAGAAAAGAAAGAAAAAGAACGGAAUCGCCCCUCCCGUCACGCCGUCAGAGAGAGAGAGAGAGAGAGAGAGAGAGAAGAAGAAGGGGCCUCCAUACCCACCCCUCAACCCCUCAACCUCCAUCGCCAUCACUCCCCUCCUCCCUGCCUUCCCUCCAUCUUCCUCCAUCUCCAUCAUCUCCAUCUUCGCCACCAAAACCUCUCUCUCUUUCUAUCUCUAUACCCUAUGCCCUCCCACCUCCAAAUCCAAACCCAAACCCAAACCCAAACCCUAACCCCCACCGAUCUUGGAUCUCCUUCUGCAAUUUCUCUCCAUCGUCGCCGUCGCCGUCGCCGUCGCCGUCGUCGUCAUCAUCAUCUGCAUCUUGUUCGGCAUUGAUCGGGAUCUUCUAAAUGUACAGAUNNNN